Gallus gallus (chicken) is the source of this 12094-nucleotide long non-coding RNA. The record is from Ensembl. Lineage: Eukaryota; Metazoa; Chordata; Aves; Galliformes; Phasianidae.
CGGCUUGUUUGCAAGAGUUGGCUCUGUGCUCCUCAAAGCCAGUUAACUCCAUCCUUCGCUGAUGUCCUUAAAAGAACCUGCAACCAAGAGCAGAAACCCAGUUGGAGCCACGCAGGUGCCCCUUUCUAUCACGGAGAUAAAAGCUGUGACACAGCCUGGCAGAGCCCAGGAGCUGCUCCCAACCUCUCAUCCCAUCCUCGUGCCCUCCAUCAGAAAACUACAGCCCGAGGAAGCGGCUCGGAGGCAUCUUGAAGACUUGGAUCUGGUUCCUGGCCUCGCGGAAUGAGAAUCCGGAGACUGUGCUCACAUUUCCAUGGCUGGGGGUGAUCUCCGUUCUGUGGCAGGAGCCUGGAGCCCGGGGAUUGAAGAGCUCUGCUCCUCGGCUUGUGAGACAGAAUGACCGCAGGUGCUGAGAGAGAGCAGGAAAUCAUCUUUGUAAAGCUGUCCAGAAAGCCUUGAAUUCAGCCUUAUCUGGAGGAUUACCCCACGCAGUUCAGUUCUUGGCAUUCAGCUCCUCUGCAGUCCCCAGCUUCAGCACAGGAAACUCCUUCACCUAGCUGCUGCCAGCAUGCUUUUGGCGACCCUGGCUGUCCCGUCAGCUGUUACAGGCCAUUAAAGGAUUUGUUUCUCGGCGUAUGAAAAGGCUUAAUUCAAUUCUCAUUCUCUUCUGGCAUUCCUCGGAGAGCCUUCUAGGCUGUCAUCUACUUCUGGCUUCGCUCAGACUCUGCAGUCCAAAGAGUCAUGUGCAGUGACCCGCCACCAUCCCUGCUUCAGACUCCAGAGUCAGGUAGUUAGAUGAUUCCCUUUCAUGUAAGUACUUUUUUAUCUUUCUUAUCUGUGGAGGGAAGCCAGCACAAGUCAUCUUUGAAGGUAAGGAAAAUGGAACCAAUGUUUUGUAUCCCAGAAAUCUCAUUAUUUUCCAACUAAUCUGCUGACCUCGAAUGCAGGGGUUUGGCAGUUUCUUUAAGGGCUGUUGCUAAACAGAGCAGAAGCAGGUCCAUCUUGGGAAAGUCUGCAUGGGUACAAUAUGAAUUUUCUGUAAGGUGAAUUCUUUGGGCUGUGUCAGAAUGAGACACUGUGGGUGACUUGCCUUUGUCUCAAGCUUGAUGGUAGUUGCCUUUGUCUCAAGCUUGAUGGUAGAUUUCACAAGAGGAAAAAAGUGUGUUUAAGAAGUUACUUGAUGCUGAUCUGUCCAGAGUUUUUUUCCCAGGCUGGAUUUAGGGAAGGAUUAUCUCAGAUUUUCAUUUAGUUCUGAAAUCCUGGGUAUUGGUUUUAUAAACUAAACCCCCUUCGCAGCAGGUUGCUUGUUCUGUAUUGUUGUUUUAGCUUGGUGCAUAGAAAGGAAUUUAAAUUCACUGACAGGGUGGGGCUAGCUCCUCGCUGGGGUAAAUCAGCAUAGUUCAGAUAUUUAAAGGCAGAUGCAUCAGUCCUGGCAGCCGAGGAUCUGGCUUACUUUGAUUAAAAUCUGAUGAAGAUUACUCAGCCUUACCAAGGGACUUGGAUUACCAUUCUAUAAAAAGAAGGGCAGGAGAGCAGAGGACAUUAAAUAUAAAAAUAAUCCAACGAAGGAUGUGAAGCUAAAAGCGUGGCACGUUGAACAAUGAUGCAAACACCCUACUGAAACAGGUGGAGGGCCGCAGGGCUGGUGGGUGCACGCAAGGCUGGAAGCUAGGUUUGAGUCAGAAAGACAUUGCUCUUGUCACAGCCCUGGUCUUGUCUUUUAAAGGCAGAAUGUUCAGAAAGAGAGCCUCGCUCCUUAGAAAAUCCCCAGGGGAGUCUUGCAGGAGAAGAAGUGGGUGACAAAUCCUCUGCCUCUGCUUCCUCGGGGACCCAGGCUAGUGCCAAAUCUCACUACAAAGAGGUGAUUAGAGCUGAGGAACAGAAAGUCAGCUCUUACAGAUCUGAAAGCUUGAAAUGUGCAUCAUCUUUAGGGUUUCUUACAGAGGUUGAACUUCACCUCUCCCUUCUAUCGCAGCGUUCGUUUUCCUGGUUCUUUGUUCCUUUGAAAGCAUGAAGUGUAUUUAGGGGCUGUUAUUACUCCAUGUGAUUGUGCUCCAUGGGCAAUGACCGAUAGAAGGGCUGCAAUGAGCCCCUUUUUUUUUUGGCCUUUUAAACGUUUCUGUCAAACCUUUCAGCACAUGUCUAGCUUUCCCAAGAUUUCGUAUCCAGUCCCUUAAAAUCAAUACAAUCUGGUCUUGCCUCUGCAGUGGAGCUAUUGAUAGGGAAGAUGCACUUGGGUCUUCAUCUAACUGCUUUUUGAAGCCCCUAAACCCAUUUGUCUCUUCUUUUGAUGGAGCUUGCUGCCUUGCUCAAUGGCUUGCUUGCAUAGGAAGCACCUUCCUUGCUGACCUCUGUUAAAAACGUGGAAGGUCUUCAAGUAGAGUUGCAGGACUUGUGAUUUGAGUGUCCUUCUUUACCCAGACCAAGGAGAACAGAGUGCAUGGUGCGUUGGCUGGUCUGGAAUCUGUCUAGGGUGGCUGGAAGAUGCUUUAAUGGUGUCAGAAGGCUGCGGGAGCCUGGACAGUGAGGUUGAGCGGCCUUAAGAACGUUGCUGACUUAAACUGACGCAUCUAAAUGCGCUGGAGGAAAGACGAGAGGGCUGUUUGGGGACCUCCUGGGUGAUUACAUACAUGGCUGGUCAGCGACAUCGCCUGAGUGCCCCGGCAGCUAUGCCAGUCUUCCAGUUUUCUUUCAUUGCAGUUCGGGUCGGAUGAGGAUAAGAUUGUGUUUUAAUAAGUGUUUGUUAGGGAGUGCUUCCCCCCCCGCCUCCCACCCGCAUGAAACUGUUUAUUUUCCUUGCAGUAACACGUGUGUUGCUCAGCUUCUGCUGUUCCAUGUGUCGUGCUCUGUUACUCUGCCUUGCUCGCAGCCGCAGAGCAGGGGGAACACUGCCAAGGCUUUUUCUGGGAAUUUGCUCUGGUCGUGCUGCUUCCCCGGGAGCACUCAGCGGAUGCAUGUUGUUUGCAGGGGGGGGGAACACUCAAAUGUCAGCAUCUGAAGGGAUCACGAAGGAAGCAAGGCGAGCACCAACUACUCUUCCACCUCUCAGAGGUGCCUGCAUACACACAGCCUUGAUACAACCCUGCUGCAGAUUAUAGACGUGUUUUGGUUGAGAUUCUCUGUGCUUGAUGCAUUGUCUGCCUGCAACGCAGGGCAAACUCUACUCCUCCCUUCUGGCCCGGCCUGUAAUGAUGGAUUAAGUAGAGACAGAAAACUUUGGGAACGUGAACUGAGCCCUUACAUUUCUUCAGUGCAAAAUGCUGUUGCCCUGUUCUUUUGAUGAGGAGAGGAAGGUGCUGAGUCUUUCCUGUCCUGGCCGUGUCCAUGGACCGAGCUGUCAUACCAUUCUGAGAGCUGGAGGAAGGAAAUGGACUGAGUCUGCCCUCAGAAUUCAGGUCCUUGUCCAGGACUCUGGGAACCUGCCUGCGUGUGAUUGACGGCAUCACGUGAGCGUGUAUGGGGCUGCAUCUCAUGCUGUCGGGUCAGAGAUUACCUCCAAGCAGCCAAUACUCAACAUUCAGUCAGAAAAGAUGCAAAGAAGCAGAGCCAUUCCCCUCUCUGUGUCAUCUGCCUCUGAGAGUGGGAGAGUGCUGGCAGAGCGCUACCGGGUCUGUACUGGUAUAGAGAGGAAGGCUCAGAUUUGAUGAUUUGUCCAUUAUCUGGUGGUGGAUACAGCCUAACCUGGGCUCAGAGCAUCCCAAGGUCUGUAUCCUAGUGCAGGAACUGGCUGCUGCUGCUCUCUUCUGAAUAGACAGCUUUCUCCAGCCUCACAGCAUGCUAAUGUAGGCCAGUCACCUUCACCACAACUCCUGGCGCAAGAUAUUCAGCAGACUUGAUGCUUCAUAGUAGGCUGAAUCUGGUAUAACCAAGGCAGAAUUUCUACCUGCCAGUAGUGAAGUAAUGCCCUGUGAUUUCAAGUGACCACUGGUUUGACAGCAGUAGUGAAAGGGAAAGGCAUGAAUAGGCCGGAUAUCAGGAAAACCUUCUCAGGAGUGAUGAGGCUGUGAAAUGGACUGCCCAGGGAGGUGGUGGAGUCACUGUCCCUGGAGGUGUUCAAGAACUGUGGAGACGUGGCACUGAGGGACGUGGUUUAGUGAGCAAUAAUGGUUGAUGGGUGGACAGCUGGAUUAGAUGGGUCCGACUAGAGGUCCUCCAAUUAGAGGUCUUUUCCAGUCUAAAUGAUUCUAUGAAAGCAGUCGACCGUUUUCUUGCAGUCUCUGAGGAGCUUGGAUAUGGUGUCUGAAACGAGCUAAGGAAGCCACCUAAUCUCUGAGCACAUCCACCUUCUGCAGCAUACACCCUUCCAGCCACAAAGAGGUCCUGAGUCCCUCAGUGGCUGCAAAGAACAGCAGGUAGAUGGAGCAGACAGAGAUGGAGAGCAUUCUUUUGUUGCUUUUUUUUUGGGGGGGGGAGUAUCGUUGAAGAAUCAGGGUGACAAAAAUAUUUUGAUGGAAGUGACUAUGUGAAAUAUCUUUUCAUUUUGAUUAUUUGAAAAACAAAAACUGUUCAUGGGUUUUAAAAUUCAUGUCCCCUCCGGGUUGCUUUGUUUUGUUUUGUUUCUUAUUCCUUCUCCCUUAUUCCUCAGAGGAAGCCAUCCAAACCUACACGGUGCGUCAUUUCUUGAGGAAAUGCAGUGUGAUCUUUUUUUCCAGUUUAACCUGGGCUGAAAAAUCUUCUGGUGUUUCAUUUGCCUGAGAAAUCAGAAAAAAAAAGCUUGGAUGAAACAGGAAUCUGACUGGUUCACAGGGAACCUUCUUGGUUUUGGAGACCCAUUUGGGUGGGGUAGCUGCAGGAGCUCUUUGCUGUGCAGGUUGGGGAGGAGGUGAUGCCAUCUUUGCCUGGGCCAUACUUUGUGCCCAAUGCCUUCUCCAGGGGUGAGGGGCAUAAGGGGUGCAGAGCUGUGUCUUGGUUGCAGCAGGGAACUGCUACCACUGAAGUAUGAUUCUCAGCUUUCUGGAGUUGUGGAAAACAUCUGGACAAUGGUUGAAAUUGGAAGAGCGAAGGGCUAUCCUGGCUUUUGAGGGCAUAUCAUGGGAUGUCCCGCAGGUGGCUUGUUGGAGGUGAACCACAGAGGGAGGACUGCACUGGAGAGGCAUAGAGGCUCACAUGGGACGGGAGUGGUGGCAACUGCCUGUAUGCCUGAAAGCAGGGCAAGCAGUGGGCUGGGGGUGGAGGAGACCACCUCCGCCUGUUGCUGCCAUCUCCACGAGCUGCCAGCUCUGCCGUGUAGCUUUGCCCAGAUCUGCAGUAGAGCUGCUCAUCCCCAGCCCUGCCAUCCCUGUGCCCCACAUGCUGCCUCUCCUAUAAAUAGCCGGAUGGGAAGCAGAGCGCAGAGCCGCCGCAGAUGGCCCCCAGUUCCACGCGCACUCAUGUGUGAGAUCCCAGAGAGGGGCUGUCAAUUCCUUGCCUACAGCCACCCAUGCAACCUCAUUAAGGAUGGUGUCGUCUUCCUUAACCCCCAUCGCCCCCUCCCUCCCCACUUCAACGUGCCUCCAUUUGAGCACCCUUAUUAAACGUGCACUUCUAAGCAAGGAGCGCUGACUUCCCCUUAAUUGAGGCAUAAUAAUUAGAGCAUUAACACAUUAGGAGAGUGAGACAGCAUGUUUAGCUUUUGUGAUUAAUUAUCUGAGGAUUGUAAUAAGUUGUUAAGACAUUAAUUACUCUGGCAUGUUUAUUGCUCUUUAUUGCAGAACUGACACUUGGUGGAAGAGUUGCUGGUGUGCCUGGCGGUGCACCGUGAGGUGGGCUGGCCAGGGGAGACCUCUGCUCCCCCAUAGACACUGAGCUGCUGCUUGGGAAUGGAUCUAGGGGAGCAGAAACAGCUCCUGAACCUCCAGCAGGACACCUCGGGAUGGAAGUGGUGUCUGAAUCUCUUAGAGUCGUAGGAUUAUGAAGGUUGGAAUAAAACACUGAGAGCAUCAGCCCAUCCCCACCGUGCCCACUAAACCAUGUCCCUCAAUGCCGCGUUCUCCCUCAUCUUGGGGCAGCCUGGGAGCUGGAAGGCUUAUUUUUAUGGAUGGUUUCAGCUGGAUUUCUCUCUUCUUUCAAACAAAGUGUUUCCUCUCGGAUGGUUUGAGCCUGCCCUCAUUUGGAUCUUUGUUUUUGCAAAUCCAAGUCAGCGUGGCUCAUUGUGCCUGGAUCUGAGGAGGAUGGCUGUCUGUUAACGACAAGCUGAAGUUCAGCGUGUCGGCGGUGGUCAGGGAGUGAACCAGGACCCCAGUGGCCUCGCUUGGCUCUUGAUCAGAUGAAUUUUCUUCUGGAGAGCUGGGAGGUGGGUUAGGGAAGGCUGUUGCUGUGGCAGCAGGAGUGGAUCAGCCCUCUGCAGCCUGUUCUUCACACAGCAAGCUGCUCAGCGACCUGUCAGAGCUGUGCUGAUCAGAUGGGGGCUGAAGGCAGAGUUCAGAGCAGGAGGAUGGGUGGGUCCAUGUGCUGCUGUGACAGAGAAAAAAGGAAGCAGGAGGCUGCGAUGGGCCUGUUCCAGCCUUCUGCUUUUCCCAUGAGUUGCACAGUGCCAGAGUCUUGCUGUCCAGCUCUUUGGGUGGGGGACAGCACAGGAGAAAUGGGGGGAAAUGGAGUAACAGCCCCAGCCACUGGCAUGGAGAAUAAAACUGGGAAAAUGGUGAAAGUCGAGAAGGUGAGAAAGCUGUGAGUUUUGUGUGUUUGCUGUUGGUUUGAUAUUGGAUGGCCCCAUCCCUGCCGACAGCCAAGGUCAGGCUGGAUGGGCUCUGAGCACCACUAGGGCUGUGAGUGUCCCUGCUCAGUGCAGGAGGGUUGGACCAGAUGGCCUCUGAGGGUCCUUUCCAGCUCAAAACGAUGCUGUGGUUCCUUGGGGAGCCCUAGAGCUGAAAUGUCUGGUUUCCAGCCUAUGGCAGUGCCCUUGUGGCUUUGCAACACGUGCUUGUGUCUUGGGGUAGCAGCCAAGGGAGUGGGAGGGGGUCUUUAAACGUGAAGACCCUGUCCGGUUCGCCUUUCCCAAGGACAGACUGUCUCACUGUGGCUCCCACCAGCUCAAUCUGCUGUCACUGUGUCACUGGCACUGGUGGCCAGGGAGCUGCACAAGGCACUGAAUGCCCUCCUCGUGUGCGAGCUGGGAUCCAUCUUGUGUCAGCUGCCUUCAGCACCUCCGAGCCCACACUGCCUUGCUGAAGCCCAGCCUGAAUAUGGCAUUUGCUGUCAGGUGGCUGAUUUCUGCCUGCAGAAUAUGGAGAGCGUCAGCCUGGCAUUUCCCACUUGCCUCCUAGGGACAAAGCAGGUCAUGACUUCCGUGUAUUAUCAUUAAAAAGAUAAUUUCCUCUAGAUGUGUGCAAUAAGACAAUGGUGCUGACCUGUGAUCCUGGCAUUGCACAGCAUUAAUGAUUUCCCUUUGCAGGUAAUAAGCAGCAAAUGUACACAUUUUGGGGAGAUCUGAAUUAGUUUUUUUCCCUCCUUUUAAGACUGCUGUCUUCCUAGGCCAGACUUAAUUAGCAGACCUCAUUAUUUCCUGAAAUGUAACUUGACUUCCAUUGAAUGAGAAUUGUUCAGUGGAUGGGGAGCAGCAGAGCGGUGCUGCAAUAUUCAUAUUGUUUAAAUUGCAACAUUAACAUUUCAUGCCGCUCUUGGCAUAUUUUCAGGUGCGGCCCUUUAGCUCAAUGCAGUGCUGUGAAAGGUUGGAUCAGAACAAUUAGGAUACAGCGACUGGAUUUCUGGAUUAUUAUUAUUAUUAUUUUUUUUUUAAGCAACACAAGCUUAGAUUCAAUGCCCAUCACUCUAUUUGUUUGGCAGAACAGGGAUUCCAGCGCCCCUGAAGUAAAUGCUUUUCUGGAAUAAAGGAUGUGCUGUAGCACAUGCUCACCUCCUCUCUUAGCAGAGAUGAAGCCCUGCAGGUACAUGCAGUACGUGAUUCGCAGGGCUGGAAGCACCUCCUGGGACUUGACCUUCACUAGCUAAAUAGGAGAACUCCCAAUAAUGCUUCUGGCCACCUAGGCCACAGUCGCACACAAAAAGGCUGUUUCCCACUUUGCCCUUGUUCUUGGAUGCCUCAGGCUGGAGGUGGCACUGUAGUAAUGCCCAGGUCCAAGCGGAUCCUACAUGAGCACGUGGAUUGCACUCCCUAUCUCCAAACAGCCCGUGGGCCUUGGUCCUGCACAGGGGCUCCAGUGACCUUUGCUGCCUUGCCCCAUAGUGUGCUUUCCAGUAGUUUUUCCUGUACUGGAGUUCAGUGUCAAUGAUGGGAGUUAAUGUCAAGGAAUCAUAGAAUACCUGGGUUAGAAGGAACCUUAAAGCCCACCCAGUCCCAACCCUACAGUGGGCUGGCUGCCCCUCCCCCACCAGCUUAGGCUGCCCAAGGCCCAAUCCAGCCUUCCUCGAGCACCUCCAAGGAUGGGACACACGUCUGGGAUUGCCAUGAACCAAGUGCAACACCUUGAAUUUGGCCUUGGCAGUGUCAAGAACAACUCCAGCUUCCACCCUGGAACAACUUAGUUAGGGUCUCUGACUUCAGCCAACCAUGCCUCCCAUUUGUAACGUGUGCAGUGGGAUCCAUGACAUCUUAUCUCCCAUGGAUACGUAGCUUGGGUCAGGGUUCUCUGGUAUCUGGUAAGCUGCUUGUGCUGAACGGAACACCUCCUCUCGUGGGUUAUUUAUAACAUCCUGCUCUCCCACGCAGAUUGUCUGGUGUCUAAUAGUGGAUGAUGCACUACAGUUUGCAAGGUGCUAAUAAUCUCUCUCCUCUGUUUGACAGUCUGUUCCCAUGAGAUUUAUAGACUCUGACUGUCCCUGAGACCUCUGCCUCUCUGUCAGAUCAGGCUGAAAUCUGUUCUCAGUGUCAGAAGCUGCUGCCAAGCAGGCAGGGGAUGGACUGAUGCGUGUGUUUUGCAUCCCAUAAGAACUCAAGCACAGACCUGGGGGGCGAUGGGAGCUCUGAUUGCCAACUUGUGGGUUCAGGAAGGUGAGCCUCCAGGAGAAGGGCCGUGCCCGCAGCCAUCCUGCAUGAGAUGCCGUGCUGCGGGAUGCUCACGGGCUGCACUUCGUGUUCCCAUCGCCUGCGGUGACCAUCACAAGCGGCGCAGCCCCUGUGGGAACGGCCCCUGAGGACAAUAAACGAGCCAGCCCCGAGCUCCAGGCUGCUGUGAAGAAUUGCCUGGCUAAAGGAUAAUGAAUACCGCAGCAGGAGACGGAGCGUUUCUCCGAGGCCAUCCAUCCCCUUUAUCACCCCGCUAACAAGCCCCUGAGCGACUUCAGAGAGGCUUCUGCAGAGCAGCUCAAUCCCUCACCGUGCUGGCGGCUGGGUGCUGGGGGCUCUGCGGGAAGCCACAGCCCCAUCCCACAGAGCAACCACCAGUGCCCUCCAGGGGUCCGUGUAGUGCCAAGGAGGGGCAGAAGAGCCAGGCAUCCUUUUUUUUUCCAAGGCACUUUUGGGCCCUGCAGCACUCUUUGGAGCAUUGCUUUACCCAGCUCCCAGUCUGGCAAAGAUUUCUGAGGUCUGUGCGAGGCUCAGGAGGAGUUUAGUGCUGCUGGCCAGGAGGUUUAUCUAUAGGAGGAUGCAUCUAGCACGGUCCCUGCAAGAACUUCACAUCCAGUGCUGGAGGAGGAGAAGGGAAAGCAAACAGUGUUGGGUGUUCUCAUCAAUAUAGGUGGCUGGGGGGGUGCGAGGGGGGGCAGAAAGCAGGAGAAAAGCUGAAAGCCCUUCAGGAAGGUGUAUAGAGCACAGUGAUGGGCAAUUAGGUUGUUCCAGGAAGGACAGAAGUAGCAGAGAGCAGUGAGCUGAGUCUGAGGAGCUCUCUGAUACUCAGCAUCAGCUUCGACUGAGGUCGCUGGGUAGGGCUGGUUGUGUUUAAUGCCUCAGUUUCCCCACGGGAGGGUUCAUUUACAGCCUGAAAACAUCUGGCACUUUUCCUCCUUUGGCCAGCACUGUUAUGUGUUGAAUUGAAGGGAAACGCAAUGCAUCACCCUCCUCAUGGGCUGCCACUCUGCCAAGAGUAGCGGAGAUUGGCCUUCCAUCAUGGGGGGCUGAGGUGGAAGGGACCUCCCGGAGCAUGCAGCGGAGAAAUACUGUCAUUAGCUGAGGAAGACCUGGCAGAGAUGGAGUGCUCCUUCACCUUGCCCGCCAGACCUCUGCCCUGCUUGCUGCUAACAGGACAGGGAAAUGCUAACUGUGCCAGCUGCAGUGCUUGGAGUGCUGUCUGCAUCCAGAUGUGAGAAACAGCUGGGACAGCAAGGCUUUUACAGCCUGGUGGGGGUGGCUUUGGUCUUUUUGCUGCCUAUCAACAAGCCCUUGCUGUUGGGAUCAAAGAAUGUUUCUCCAUACUUACAGUCAAUGGGUGCUGGAUGAUCCCCAGAGGUCCCUUCCAACCCCUACAAUUCCGUGGGUCUGUGAUGUCCCUGGCCAUGAAGGUCCCAGGAUGCAGGAGGUCUGCCUCCUGUACUUACCAGUGUAACAGGGCAGCCUUCGGGGUGGUGUAGGUUUGAAGGAUGCCUCACCUGCUCCUGUCUCACAGGUUGUAGGGAAAUCAUUUUAAUUAGCGUGACACGUCCCUUUGUGGGCAAAAAAAAAAGAAAGAAAAGAAGGAAAGCCAAUAGAAACUCCGGCCAUUCGGGGUAUUUUUAGUUCUUUGCGAAGGACUGUUAACAUCUCUCUCAGCUCCCUGAAGACUGCUUUGGCUCUGCAGUUGCCUGCGGUGCUGUGCUGACGCCAGCACACCCUGCAUGAAGCUGUUCGGUGAAGGAGGGGCUACAGGAACUCAGGGAGAGCACAAAGUUCUGGAUGAAGAACACGAAAGUGAUGGGACCUUUCCUGCAUUCUGGAUCUGCAUCUUCAAUUCCUUGUGAAGGACCAGGAGACACAGGCAAAGGAAGCCAGCUGUACAGAAAGCAGAAGUCCAGGUGACAGAUUGAGGGAUGCUACAAGCACAGUAGGCUGCCUGAUAGAUUGAUAGAUUAGACAGAGAAUAUAAAUAGCAUUGUUUAUCUAUCCCACUUUUAUUUUCCUCCCACUUGUCUCCCUAUCUACCCUGGUUUUGUUUUCCUCCCACUUAUCUCUUUAUCUAUCCAGCCUGAAGAUGGAACAGCAGUAGAAUGGAUGAGUUCAAGUUGCUAUGUUUCUUGUGGCAUUCAGGCAAAGUUUUGGCAACUGGGGAGAAUUUGGCAGAGCUGUGUUGAUCACCCUGAGCAAUGGCGAUGCUACAGGAGGCAGAGCUUUUCCACUCCUGAUGUACCGCUGCAGGUUGGGGGUUGUUGGGAGUGAUGGCCUUAUGUAGUCUUUUGAAGGCCCCAUCACCCCUUGAAGGAGGAUGCAGAGAUGCCCUUGGUGCCUGCACUGGGUCUAGCUGAUAGAGAAAUGAAGCAGCUCUGGAUGUGCCCAGGAUGGGUUGCACUUUGUUUCAUGCCCUUUCUAAGGGAGUGGUGAACGUGGAGGGCAACAAGGAUGCCACAGGUAUGGAGCAGCCUCCAUAUACAGACCUAAUAAGGAAGACACAUCACAGAUACAUGUCAUCCAUGUGACUGAAAGGAUGGCCGUGGUCAGUGACUCCCCAUCCUUUCCCAUACCGCAGUGGAGGGGCACCAAACAAAGCUCCUAGUGCCCAUUUCUGGCAUGCCCAAGGGGGUGUGAUGUGCCACAGAUGGCCUUAAUUGGCCACCUAGGAAUCCGGAGCACCCCUCUGAGUUAACGGAGCCACUGACAGGAAGGAGAUGGCCGACUAGCAUGGGAUGUCCUCCUUGUCUAUGCCUUCUCAGGAGGCUUUGCUCAAUGCCAGGCCUGUAUGAUGGGGUAGGAAACAUGGGGCACACGGUGCUGGCCUCCUCACCACCCCCCAGCACAGCAAUGGAAAAGCCAGGGCCAGAGAUGACAUCAUUCUUGUUCUUUUUUUUUUUUUUUCUCAGUUAUUUUUGGUUGCUCUUUUGCUCAAAAAAAGGCAUUUUUUUAAAAAAUAUAUUAAACAGAUACAUUUUACUAAGAUGUCUCUCAGCUGGAGCCACCAACAAGAAAUGAUCCUCCUCAAAUAGAUAAGCUUAAAAAAAAAAACACCUCCCAAACCGACCAAAUAAAUAAAUACAUAAAUAAAACAUUUUUCUUUUAUCUUUUUCUUUCCUCCUUUUGUUUCCAUUUCUCUGUAAG